This 1550-nucleotide ribosomal RNA is filed under the name Klebsiella pneumoniae. RNAcentral's name for it is "bacterial SSU rRNA". It matches the Rfam family "Bacterial small subunit ribosomal RNA". Lineage: Bacteria; Pseudomonadati; Pseudomonadota; Gammaproteobacteria; Enterobacterales; Enterobacteriaceae. The record is from RNAcentral.
AAAUUGAAGAGUUUGAUCAUGGCUCAGAUUGAACGCUGGCGGCAGGCCUAACACAUGCAAGUCGAGCGGUAGCACAGAGAGCUUGCUCUCGGGUGACGAGCGGCGGACGGGUGAGUAAUGUCUGGGAAACUGCCUGAUGGAGGGGGAUAACUACUGGAAACGGUAGCUAAUACCGCAUAACGUCGCAAGACCAAAGUGGGGGACCUUCGGGCCUCAUGCCAUCAGAUGUGCCCAGAUGGGAUUAGCUAGUAGGUGGGGUAACGGCUCACCUAGGCGACGAUCCCUAGCUGGUCUGAGAGGAUGACCAGCCACACUGGAACUGAGACACGGUCCAGACUCCUACGGGAGGCAGCAGUGGGGAAUAUUGCACAAUGGGCGCAAGCCUGAUGCAGCCAUGCCGCGUGUGUGAAGAAGGCCUUCGGGUUGUAAAGCACUUUCAGCAGGGAGGAAGGCGUUAAGGUUAAUAACCUUGGCGAUUGACGUUACCCGCAGAAGAAGCACCGGCUAACUCCGUGCCAGCAGCCGCGGUAAUACGGAGGGUGCAAGCGUUAAUCGGAAUUACUGGGCGUAAAGCGCACGCAGGCGGUCUGUCAAGUCGGAUGUGAAAUCCCCGGGCUCAACCUGGGAACUGCAUUCGAAACUGGCAGGCUAGAGUCUUGUAGAGGGGGGUAGAAUUCCAGGUGUAGCGGUGAAAUGCGUAGAGAUCUGGAGGAAUACCGGUGGCGAAGGCGGCCCCCUGGACAAAGACUGACGCUCAGGUGCGAAAGCGUGGGGAGCAAACAGGAUUAGAUACCCUGGUAGUCCACGCCGUAAACGAUGUCGAUUUGGAGGUUGUGCCCUUGAGGCGUGGCUUCCGGAGCUAACGCGUUAAAUCGACCGCCUGGGGAGUACGGCCGCAAGGUUAAAACUCAAAUGAAUUGACGGGGGCCCGCACAAGCGGUGGAGCAUGUGGUUUAAUUCGAUGCAACGCGAAGAACCUUACCUGGUCUUGACAUCCACAGAACUUUCCAGAGAUGGAUUGGUGCCUUCGGGAACUGUGAGACAGGUGCUGCAUGGCUGUCGUCAGCUCGUGUUGUGAAAUGUUGGGUUAAGUCCCGCAACGAGCGCAACCCUUAUCCUUUGUUGCCAGCGGUUAGGCCGGGAACUCAAAGGAGACUGCCAGUGAUAAACUGGAGGAAGGUGGGGAUGACGUCAAGUCAUCAUGGCCCUUACGACCAGGGCUACACACGUGCUACAAUGGCAUAUACAAAGAGAAGCGACCUCGCGAGAGCAAGCGGACCUCAUAAAGUAUGUCGUAGUCCGGAUUGGAGUCUGCAACUCGACUCCAUGAAGUCGGAAUCGCUAGUAAUCGUAGAUCAGAAUGCUACGGUGAAUACGUUCCCGGGCCUUGUACACACCGCCCGUCACACCAUGGGAGUGGGUUGCAAAAGAAGUAGGUAGCUUAACCUUCGGGAGGGCGCUUACCACUUUGUGAUUCAUGACUGGGGUGAAGUCGUAACAAGGUAACCGUAGGGGAACCUGCGGUUGGAUCACCUCCUUACCUUAAAGAA